UGGGGAAUUUUGGACAAUGGGCGAAAGCCUGAUCCAGCAAUGCCGCGUGUGUGAAGAAGGCCUUCGGGUUGUAAAGCACUUUUGUCCGGAAAGAAAUCCUUGGCUCUAAUACAGUCGGGGGAUGACGGUACCGGAAGAAUAAGCACCGGCUAACUACGUGCCAGCAGCCGCGGUAAUACGUAGGGUGCAAGCGUUAAUCGGAAUUACUGGGCGUAAAGCGUGCGCAGGCGGUUUGCUAAGACCGAUGUGAAAUCCCCGGGCUCAACCUGGGAACUGCAUUUGGUGACUGGCAGGCUAGAGUAUGGCAGAGGGGGGUAGAAUUCCACGUGUAGCAGUGAAAUGCGUAGAGAUGUGGAGGAAUACCGAUGGCGAAGGCAGCCCCCUGGGCCAAUACUGACGCUCAUGCACGAAAGCGUGGGGAGCAAACAGGAUUAGAUACCCUGGUAGUCCACGCCCUAAACGAUGUCAACUAGUUGUUGGGGAUUCAUUUCCUUAGUAACGUAGCUAACGCGUGAAGUUGACCGCCUGGGGAGUACGGUCGCAAGAUUAAAACUCAAAGGAAUUGACGGGGUC
This 573-nucleotide ribosomal RNA is filed under the name uncultured bacterium. RNAcentral describes it as "partial 16S ribosomal RNA". It matches the Rfam family "Bacterial small subunit ribosomal RNA", at positions 355 to 920 of the family's 1533-position model. The record is from RNAcentral.